RNAcentral lists this microRNA precursor (87 nucleotides) under Cajanus cajan (pigeon pea). Its description in RNAcentral is "miRNA gene-KK1_039567". Lineage: Eukaryota; Viridiplantae; Streptophyta; Magnoliopsida; Fabales; Fabaceae. The record is from RNAcentral.
ACACAAAAUUAAAAAUAUAUAAUUAAUGUAUCUAAUUUUAUUGAAAAAAAUUAUAUAAUUAUUUUAUGUAUUCUUAAACUUAUAUGU